This 25-nucleotide non-coding RNA is filed under the name Mus musculus (house mouse). The record is from RNAcentral. Lineage: Eukaryota; Metazoa; Chordata; Mammalia; Rodentia; Muridae.
UCUGGUGGACUUGGGGAAGAGGCUG